CGGUAAUUCCAGCUCCAAUAGCGUAUACUAAAGUUGUUGCAGUUAAAAAGCUCGUAGUUGGAUUUCUGCGGGGACGGAGCGGCCGGUCGCAACUUGCGACUCGAGCUAGCGCUUUCCCCGCAUCCUGCCGCGAACCGUGCUACCAUUAGUUUGGUGGCGCUGGGGAUCGGCUCGAUUACUUUGAGAAAAAUAGAGUGUUCAAAGCAGGCCACACGCCUUGAAUAAGUUAGCAUGGAAUAAUGACUAAGGACUUCGGUUCUAUUUUGUUGGUGUUCGGGACUGAAGUAAUGAUUGAUAGGGACAGUUGGGGCGGUCUGUAUUCCAAAGCGAGAGGUGAAAUUCUUAGACCUUCGGAAGACAAACAGCUGCGAAAGCGUUCCGCAAGGAUGUUCCCUUUGAUCAAGAACGAAAGUUGGGGGAUCGAAGACGAUCAGAUACCGUCGUAGUCUCAACUAUAAACUAUACCAGCUAGGGAUCGGCCAACGUUUAAUUAUUCGACUUGGUCGGCACCUUAUGAGAAAUCAAAGCAUCUGGGUUCCGGGGGGAGUAUGGUCGCAAGGCUGAAACUUAAAGGAAUUGACGGAAGGGCACCACCAGGCGUGGAGCCUGUGGCUUAAUUUGACUCAACACGGGAAAACUUACCAGGUCCAGACAUAGGAAGGAUUGGCAGAUUGAUAGCUCUUUCUUGAUUCUGUGGGUGGUGGUGCAUGGCCGUUUUUAGUCGGUGAAGUGAUUUGUCUGCUUAAUUGCGUUAACGGACGAGACCCCAGCCUGCUAAAUAGCGCGGCCGAGCUUUGCUCGGUACGAGCUUCUUAGAGGGACCAUGAUGCGCGAUAGCACAAGGAAGUUUGGGGCAACAACAGGUCUGUGAUGCCCUUAGAUGUUCUGGGCCGCACACGGGCUACACUGGCGCCUGCAACGAGCAUAUCAGCUGGCCCGAGAGGGUCUUGGCUAAUCUUUGGAACCGGCGCCGUGCUUGGGAUUGACCAUUGCAAUUGUUGGUCAUGCAACGAGGAAUGCCUUGUAAACGCGAGUCAUCAGCUCGCAUUGAAUACGUCCCUGCCCCUUGUACACACCGCCC
This 1081-nucleotide ribosomal RNA is filed under the name uncultured Rhizaria. Its description in RNAcentral is "SSU rRNA". It matches the Rfam family "Eukaryotic small subunit ribosomal RNA", at positions 577 to 1674 of the family's 1831-position model. The record is from RNAcentral.